Non-coding RNA from Heterocephalus glaber (naked mole-rat), 2024 nucleotides. Lineage: Eukaryota; Metazoa; Chordata; Mammalia; Rodentia; Bathyergidae. The record is from RefSeq and is a predicted model, not a curated record.
CACUUCAUGUACUUUCCUCCUUUCAUCAGACAUAAAAUAGACUUGUCAAAAUCACAUUUCCUCCUUCCAAAGGAGGAAAUGUAAGGAGCUUGCAGUUGCACUUCUAUAACCCUUCACCCUGGGCACCUUGGAUUAUGGUAUGAAUGUCUAACAGCACUUCAUUGCCUUGUUCAGUGAAUUUUAGGAGCCACCAGACAGAAAACUUUUUUGUCUUUUUUUAUGUAGAUUUGGAAAGGGAUGUCAGGAGAGCCCAUGGUCCUCAACAAAGGUAACUUGCUUCACUGCACCGUCAGGAAAUCGAGCUUGAACAGAUCCAGUGGAAGUCUUGAAGUCCCACUUCCAGGAGGUUUAAUCAACAUUCUUCAACCUGCUACCUAAAGCCUUUUAUCAGUGUCCUCACCUUUACCCAACACUUUUUGGUAAGAUGACUCUGCUGGCCUCCUGGAACAUUGCUGUCGUCCUCUGCUCAUCCUGGCCUUUGGACAUCUUUUCCAUUCUGCCCCAUAUCAAGCCCAUUUUGAUAAUGCUGCUUCACUACAACUCUGGAUUUGCCCCAUGUGACUUUAUUACGAACCAGAGAAGGCCAGGAAGUGGAUGUAUUUUGAACUUACCUCACUGUUGAGGACUUCAUAUAUUAGCAAUAAAUGUUUAUUAAGACUAUAAACCAGUGGAAUUUAGAUGACACUAAUAGGGAUAAAAAGUGAACCUGGUACUUAGAGUAUAAAAAUAGUAGGUAUAGGUAAUAUAUUAAUGUGGCUAAGAGGUAAUUUUCAAGAAUUUAGGGAAAAAGAAAACAAGGGAGUUACAUAAAAUCUGCAUACCUAGUAAUUAAAUCUAAGGCAAACUUUCUUGAUUCAGGAAGAAAGAUUGGAGACUUUUUUCCUGGAGAAAGUAAAUACCAUAAAGGAAAAUUACCCUCAAAAAUUAACAUCAGGGGUUCCUCAGUGAAACUGUCAGCUUGCUGUUCAGUCACCCUAUGCUAAACCUUAUUAAUUAUAAACAAUACCCAUGCACAUAGUGCUUCUUAUCUGUUCUUUAGUGUCUUGUUCUUACGUUUAAAUGCAGACAUAAAGAUCCGUGAGUAUUUGAGGAAAGCACCCAAUAUGAAAUAGAAAGAUCUAACAAGCAAAAGAAAAAAAACUUCAAAAAGUAAUGGUAGUAUGUUUACCUUGAUGGAAAAUGUUACAACUAUGAAACAAGAACAAGAAAGAGGUUUUGAAAUUGAAAAUGAUAGCAAAAAUUUUAUAGUGUCAUAAAAUUUUAAAGGAUACUUUCUCAUAAAAUAGAACAAAAGACAACCAUGAAGUAGAAAAUUAUAAAAAUUUGAAGAUAAAUCUAAGGGGGAAUAAAGGGGAAAACAGAUACAGUAGCAGAUACCCCUGGACUCCCCUCCUGAGUCGUCAGUACCUGGGUCAUUUCAUGAGCAUAGGUCCCCUGAACAUUCUCUUAUUUAGUUAAUGACAUCUCGCGCCUUCCAGUUUCUCAAGUAAGAAACCUGAUCAUUAACUCCCCCUUCUACUGUUUCCAAGGAAAUAGUAACGCCCCAGUAAUUUUUUAGUAGGUCCUGUUUCCUAAACACCAUUCUCACCAUCUCCUGUCGGCCUGGCCUGCCCACUCCCUUUACCAGAUCAUGUAUCUCUCCUGCUGACUCUGGGUCCCAGACUUGUCUCCUCAGGGCUGCUCAUAAAACACAGCCAUGACCAUGUUAAUCUCUGUUCCAAAAGUCUAUAUAAUUCUCUAAAAUCUAAACUCAUUAAAAUGACAUUUCAAGAUCUUCCUCAAUCUGACUUUCUGCCCAUUUAAAAACAAUUCAUCUUUCGCAUACAGAUACUGCUGUAGCCCUCUCUUUUCUACCACAAAGCGGUGUAUAUUUGAUUUCUCUGCCUGAAACUUUCAGUCCCCUUGCUGGCAAAUUACUCCAUUGAAACUCAGAUGGACUCCUGGUGAGGCCUACACCGCUCUGCCCAGGCAGAGUUAACUCUUUCUUGCAUUGUUUCUCAAUAAAUUGUGUGUAUUUUUGUGUG